GCUGCUCGGAGGGCUAGGGCUCGGCCCCGGAGAGGAGCCUGAGAAACGGCUACUACGUCCAAGGAAGGCAGCAGGCGCGCAAAUUGCCCAAUCCCGACACGGGGAGGUAGUGACAAUAAAUACUGAUACAGGGCUCUUUUGGGUCUUGUAAUUGGAAUGAGUACAAUUUAAAUCUCUUAACGAGGAACAAUUGGAGGGCAAGUCUGGUGAACGUUGCUGGUGCCGGAGAUAGCCGCCCCUCGGUAAAUAAAGCAGCUAGUCGAGUGCUCGCGGAAGUGACGGGUGAGCACCGGCGAGACGACCUGGGUCGGGGAAGGCUAAGGGUUACCGCAUGGGGGCCUAUGCUAAUCCCGAGCAGAGCCGAUAUUUCGCGGCCUGCGUAGAGCGCGCCAAGGUGUCGGUUCCGGGACCCACCCCCUGCCAGCGCCGGGUGGGGGGUUCCCGGGGCUUAAGGUACGUGCCAAUCCCCUGCGAAAGCAGGGCCCUGCGGACAAGCACCCGUUAUGCAAAGCCGGCAGGGGGCCCUCUUUAGCGAGGUCGUGGUCUCAGCAAGUGUGGAGGGGCUCCGUCGUUGGGACGGAUAGAUCGCUUGCUUGGGCCUUCCGGGGGAGACCUAGCUUGGAUGCCUUAAAUGGCCAGCAGCCGCGGUAAUUCCAGCUCCAAUAGCGUAUAUUAAAGUUGUUGUGGUUAAAAAGCUCGUAGUUGAAUCUUGGGCCUGGCCGGCCGGUCCGCCUCACCGCGUGCACUGGUCCGGCCGGGCCUUCCCCCCCGCGGAACCCCAUGCCCUUCACUGGGCGUGGCGGAAACGACUAGCC
Molecule: ribosomal RNA, 815 nt
Filed under: Ophiocordyceps sp.
Lineage: Eukaryota; Fungi; Ascomycota; Sordariomycetes; Hypocreales; Ophiocordycipitaceae
Description: partial small subunit ribosomal RNA
Rfam family: Eukaryotic small subunit ribosomal RNA
Source: RNAcentral